This 461-nucleotide ribosomal RNA is filed under the name uncultured bacterium. RNAcentral's name for it is "bacterial SSU rRNA". It matches the Rfam family "Bacterial small subunit ribosomal RNA", at positions 29 to 529 of the family's 1533-position model. The record is from RNAcentral.
AGCGAACGCUGGCGGCAGGCCUAAUACAUGCAAGUCGAACGGUUCCUUCGGGAACAGUGGCGGACGGGUGAGUAACACGUGGGAACGUGCCCUUUGGUACGGAACAACUGAGGGAAACUUCAGCUAAUACCCGUAUGUGCCCUUCGGGGGAAAGAUUUAUCGCCAUUGGAGCGGCCCGCGUUGGAUUAGGUAGUUGGUGAGGUAAAGGCUCACCAAGCCUACGAUCCAUAGCUGGUCUGAGAGGAUGAUCAGCCACACUGGGACUGAGACACGGCCCAGACUCCUACGGGAGGCAGCAGUAGGGAAUCUUGCGCAAUGGGCGAAAGCCUGACGCAGCCAUGCCGCGUGAAUGAUGAAGGUCUUAGGAUUGUAAAAUUCUUUCACCGGGGACGAUAAUGACGGUACCCGGAGAAGAAGCCCCGGCUAACUUCGUGCCAGCAGCCGCGGUAAGCAUACUCGUA